This 1326-nucleotide ribosomal RNA is filed under the name Triticum aestivum (bread wheat). RNAcentral's name for it is "partial small subunit ribosomal RNA". The record is from RNAcentral. Lineage: Eukaryota; Viridiplantae; Streptophyta; Magnoliopsida; Poales; Poaceae.
AUGGCUCUCUCGUGGCAUAUAGCGCCGGCCGCUCGCUCCGUCCCGAGUAAAGGAGAGGCUUCCAGAGUCCACUCCGUCCAGGCUUGUUGGUUGGCUUGGACCUUGGAGCUCGGCGAAAUCCGGAGCGUCUCGCGUGCGCGUUGGGGAGUGUCAGCAGCCAUGGCCGCCAGGAGGGUGCUCCUGCUCUGCGGGGACUACAUGGAGGACUACGAGGCCAUGGUCCCGUUCCAGGCGCUGCAGGCGUACGGGGUGUCCGUCCACGCCGCCUGCCCCGGCAAGAAGGCCGGCGACGCCUGCCCCACCGCCGUCCACAAGCCCGUCGGCCACCAGACAUAUGCAGAGUCGAAAGGUCACAACUUUGCACUUAAUGCUUCAUUCGAUGAGGUUGAUGCUGCUGGGUAUGAUGGAUUGGUGAUUCCUGGAGGCCGUGCACCAGAGUACCUUGCGAUGGAUGAAAAAGUGCUCGACUUAGUUAGGAAGUUCUCUGACGCUAAGAAGCCCAUUGCAUCAGUUUGCCAUGGCCAGCUGAUUCUGGCAGCAGCAGGAGUAGUCAGGGACCGUACAUGCACCGCGUAUCCUGCUGUUAAGCCAGUUUUGGUUGCUGCUGGGGCUAAGUGGGUAGAAGCUGAUACUAUGAAGAAAUGUGUCGUCGAUGGUAAUCUCGUCACUGCGGCGGCUUACGACGGUCACCCUGAAUUCAUCAGCCUGUUUGUGAAAGCACUUGGGGGCUCCGUCGCAGGCUCAGACAAAAAAAUAUUGUUCCUCUGCGGGGACUACAUGGAGGAUUACGAGGUCAUGGUCCCGUUCCAGGCCCUUCAAGCCCUUGGCUGCCAUGUCGAUGCGGUAUGCCCCGACAAGGGCCCCGGUGACAAGUGCCCAACCGCCAUCCAUGACUUUGAAGGGGACCAGACGUACAGCGAGAAGCCUGGUCACGAUUUCCCUUUGAACGCGUCGUUUGACGGCGUGGACGCUUCAAGCUACGACGCGCUUGUGAUCCCAGGUGGGCGUGCCCCCGAGUACCUUGCGCUGAACGAGAAGGUGCUCAGCUUGGCCAAGGGGUUCAUGGAUAAAGGAAAGCCGGUCGCGUCGAUCUGCCACGGGCAGCAGAUCCUGGCUGCUGCCGGGGUUCUUCAGGGCCGGAAGUGCACGGCGUACCCGGCGGUGAAGCUGAACGUGGUGCUGGGCGGGGGGACGUGGCUGGAGCCGGACCCGAUCCACCGGUGCUUCACGGACGGCAACCUGGUGACGGGCGCGGCGUGGCCGGCGCACCCGGAGUUCGUCGCGCAGCUCAUGGCCCUGCUCGGCAUCAAGGUAUCCUUCGCGUGA